This 449-nucleotide ribosomal RNA is filed under the name uncultured bacterium. RNAcentral describes it as "bacterial SSU rRNA". It matches the Rfam family "Bacterial small subunit ribosomal RNA", at positions 355 to 796 of the family's 1533-position model. The record is from RNAcentral.
UCGAGAAUCUUUCGCAAUGGGCGAAAGCCUGACGAAGCGACGCCGUGUGUGUGAUGAAGGCCCUUGGGUCGUAAAGCACUUUCGCUUGGGAACAAGAAAGGGUUGUAAAUAGCAGCCCAAUUUGAGGGUACCAGGUAAAGAAGCACCGGCUAACUCCGUGCCAGCAGCUGCGGUAAUACGGAGGGUGCAAGCAUUAAUCGGAAUUAUUGGGCGUAAAGGGCGCGUAGGCGGUGAGGCAAGUCAGGUGUGAAAUCCCGGAGCUCAACUCCGGAACAGCACUUGAAACUGCCUUUCUAGAGGGUAGGCGGAGGAAACGGAAUUCCACAAGUAGCGGUGAAAUGCGUAGAUAUGUGGAAGAACACCUGUGGCGAAAGCGGUUUCCUAGCUUAUACCUGACGCUGAGGCGCGAAAGCAAGGGGAGCAAACAGGAUUAGAUACCCCCGUAGUCC